Molecule: ribosomal RNA, 301 nt
Filed under: uncultured bacterium
Lineage: Bacteria
Description: partial 16S ribosomal RNA
Rfam family: Bacterial small subunit ribosomal RNA
Source: RNAcentral
CAGCAGCCGCGGUAAUACGGAGGGUGCAAGCGUUAAUCGGAAUUACUGGGCGUAAAGCGCACGCAGGCGGUCUGACAAGUCAGAUGUGAAAUCCCCGGGCUUAACCUGGGAACUGCAUUUGAAACUGUCAGGCUGGAGUCUUGUAGAGGGGGGUGGAAUUCCAGGUGUAGCGGUGAAAUGCGUAGAGAUCUGGAGGAAUACCGGUGGCGUAGGCGGCCCCCUGGACAAAGACUGACGCUCAGGUGCGAAAGCGUGGGGAGCAAACAGGAUUAGAUACCCGGGUAGUCCCUGUCUCUUAUAC